RNAcentral lists this ribosomal RNA (410 nucleotides) under uncultured bacterium. RNAcentral describes it as "bacterial SSU rRNA". It matches the Rfam family "Bacterial small subunit ribosomal RNA", at positions 107 to 507 of the family's 1533-position model. The record is from RNAcentral.
UGAGUAAUAUAUCGGAACGUGCCCAGUCGGUGGGGGAUAACGUAGAGAAAUUUACGCUAAUACCGCAUACGAUACUAAGGGAUGAAAGGCGGGGGAUUCGCAAGAACCUCGCGCGAUUGGAGCGGCUGAUAUCAGAUUAGGUAGUUGGUGAGGUAAAGGCUCACCAAGCCGACGAUCUGUAGCUGGUCUGAGAGGACGACCAGCCACACUGGGUCUGAGACACGGCCCAGACUCCUACGGGAGGCAGCAGUGGGGAAUUUUGGACAAUGGGCGCAAGCCUGAUCCAGCAAUGCCGCGUGCAGGAUGAAGGCCUUCGGGUUGUAAACUGCUUUUGUACGGAACGAAACGGUGAGCUCUAAUACAGUUUGCUAAUGACGGUACCGUAAGAAUAAGCACCGGCUAACUUCGUG